Molecule: ribosomal RNA, 1229 nt
Filed under: metagenome
Description: bacterial LSU rRNA
Rfam family: Bacterial large subunit ribosomal RNA
Source: RNAcentral
UAGGAACUCAGCAAAUUAACGCCGUAACUUCGGGAGAAGGUGUGCCCCGGUAGCGUGUAGAGACUUGCUCUCGAAGCGCGAUGGGGUUGCAGUGAAAUGGUGGCUGCGACUGUUUAAUAAAAACACAACACUCUGCAAACACGAAAGUGGACGUAUAGGGUGUGACGCCUGCCCGGUGCCGGAAGGUUAAGUGAUGGGGUGCAAGCUCUUGAUCGAAGCCCCGGUAAACGGCGGCCGUAACAAUAACGGUCCUAAGGUAGCGAAAUUCCUUGUCGGGUAAGUUCCGACCUGCACGAAUGGCGUAACGAUGGCCACACUGUCUCCUCCUGGGACUCAGCGAAGUUGAAAUGUUUGUGAAGAUGCAAUCUACCCGCGGCUAGACGGAAAGACCCCAUGAACCUUUACUGUAGCUUUGCAUUGGACUUUGAACCGGUUUGUGUAGGAUAGGUGGGAGACUGUGAAGCCGGGACGCUAGUUUCGGUGGAGUCAACCUUGAAAUACCACCCUGAUUUGUUUGAGGUUCUAACCUUGGUCCGUGAAUCCGGAUCGGGGACCGUGCAUGGUAGGCAGUUUGACUGGGGCGGUCUCCUCCCAAAAGGUAACGGAGGAGUACGAAGGUACGCUUAGGGCGGUCGGACAUCGCCCACAAAGUGCAAUGGCAAAAGCGUGCUUGACUGCGAGACCCACAAGUCGAGCAGGUACGAAAGUAGGUCAUAGUGAUCCGGUGGUUCUGUAUGGAAGGGCCAUCGCUCAACGGAUAAAAGGUACUCUGGGGAUAACAGGCUAAUUCCUCCCAAGAGUUCAUAUCGACGGGGGAGUUUGGCACCUCGAUGUCGGCUCAUCACAUCCUGGGGCUGUAGUCGGUCCCAAGGGUAUGGCUGUUCGCCAUUUAAAGUGGUACGCGAGCUGGGUUUAAAACGUCGUGAGACAGUUUGGUCCCUAUCUGCCGUGGGCGCUGGAAAUUUGAAGGGGGCUGCUCCUAGUACGAGAGGACCGGAGUGGACGAACCUCUGGUUUACCGGUUAUGACGCCAGUCGUAUCGCCGGGUAGCUAAGUUCGGAAGAGAUAAACGCUGAAAGCAUCUAAGCGUGAAACUCGCCUUAAGAUAAGAUUUCCCGGAGUCUUGAACUCCCUGAAGGGUCGUCGAAGACCACGACGUUGAUAGGUCAGGUGUGGAAGCGCAGCAAUGCGUUAAGCUAACUGAUACUAAUUGCCCGUGCGGCUUGAUC